UUUUUUCCCUUUGGAGAGAAAAUAUCCAGUGUGCUGGUGUUGGAUACUUGGCUGUCUCCAUCGGAGAAGAAGAAGUGUCUCCUCUCUUCAUAUGGAAGAACAGCUCACAACUGCUAUGGAGGCAUCAUACCAAAAUAGCUGCUUCUGGAGGGGCCUUAUUACAUUUUGACAGGCGUCUGACAUGAGAUGCUGUCACUGCUGAGAUUUUCACCUUGGUCUGCCACCUCCAAUUUCCUUGCCUAGGACCUGAGAGACAAUAAAUGGGAUUUGAACGCUGAUUGAAACCUUACUUUUACCCUGUUUUAAUUGUCAAUUGCAUGAGAUGUACUGGUGUGCUACAGUUAGCAUGGCAGGUAUUAUUUGCUUGCCAGACCUGGCUUGGUAAAUUAAUCUACCACUCCAGCUGAAAGUCAUCAAGGGGAGAAAAUGGAAUAUUAUCUUCUCUUUUUUUCAACAAACAGAAACAAAAAAGCCA
This is a non-coding RNA of Anolis sagrei ordinatus, 475 nucleotides long. The record is from RefSeq and is a predicted model, not a curated record. NCBI's taxonomy places the organism in Eukaryota, Metazoa, Chordata, Lepidosauria, Squamata, Anolidae.